This 1345-nucleotide ribosomal RNA is filed under the name uncultured bacterium. Its description in RNAcentral is "bacterial SSU rRNA". It matches the Rfam family "Bacterial small subunit ribosomal RNA", at positions 28 to 1381 of the family's 1533-position model. The record is from RNAcentral.
GAUGAACGCUAGCGGGAGGCCUAACACAUGCAAGCCGAGCGGUAUUGUUUCUUCGGAAAUGAGAGAGCGGCGUACGGGUGCGGAACACGUGUGCAACCUGCCUUUAUCUGGGGGAUAGCCUUUCGAAAGGAAGAUUAAUACUCCAUAAUAUAUUGAACGGCAUCGUUUAAUAUUGAAAGCUCCGGCGGAUAGAGAUGGGCACGCGCAAGAUUAGCUAGUUGGUGAGGUAACGGCUCACCAAGGCGAUGAUCUUUAGGGGGCCUGAGAGGGUGAUCCCCCACACUGGUACUGAGACACGGACCAGACUCCUACGGGAGGCAGCAGUGAGGAAUAUUGGUCAAUGGGUGCAAGCCUGAACCAGCCAUCCCGCGUGAAGGACGACUGCCCUAUGGGUUGUAAACUUCUUUUGUAUAGGGAUAAACCUACCCUCGUGAGGGUAGCUGAAGGUACUAUACGAAUAAGCACCGGCUAACUCCGUGCCAGCAGCCGCGGUAAAACGGAGGGUGCAAGCGUUAUCCGGAUUUAUUGGGUUUAAAGGGUCCGUAGGCGGACUUAUAAGUCAGUGGUGAAAGCCUGUCGCUUAACGAUAGAACUGCCAUUGAUACUGUAAGUCUUGAGUAUAUUUGAGGUAGCUGGAAUAAGUAGUGUAGCGGUGAAAUGCAUAGAUAUUACUUAGAACACCAAUUGCGAAGGCAGGUUACCAAGAUAUAACUGACGCUGAGGGACGAAAGCGUGGGGAGCGAACAGGAUUAGAUACCCUGGUAGUACACGCCGUAAACGAUGCUAACUCGUUUUUGGGCUUUAGGGUUCAGAGACCAAGCGAAAGUGAUAAGUUAGCCACCUGGGGAGUACGCUCGCAAGAGUGAAACUCAAAGGAACUGACGGGGGCCCGCACAAGCGGUGGAUUAUGUGGUUUAAUUCGAUGAUACGCGAGGAACCUUACCAAGACUUAAAUGGGAAUUGACAGCUUUAGAAAUAGAGCUUUCUUCGGACAAUUUUCAAGGUGCUGCAUGGUUGUCGUCAGCUCGUGCCGUGAGGUGUUAGGUUAAGUCCUGCAACGAGCGCAACCCCUGUCACUAGUUGCCAUCAUUCAGUUGGGGACUCUAGUGAGACUGCCUACGCAAGUAGAGAGGAAGGUGGGGAUGACGUCAAAUCAUCACGGCCCUUACGUCUUGGGCCACACACGUAAUACAAUGGCCGGUACAGAGGGCAGCUACACAGCGAUGUGAUGCAAAUCUCGAAAGCCGGUCUCAGUUCGGAUUGGAGUCUGCAACUCGACUCUAUGAAGCUGGAAUCGCUAGUAAUCGCGCAUCAGCCAUGGCGCGGUGAAUACGUUCCCGGGCCU